UUCGCGCGCCUAUCUAGCUUGUUGGUGGGGUAACGGCCUACCAAGGCGAUUACGGGUAGCCGGGCCUGAGAAGGGCGACCGGCCACACUGGGACUGAGACACGGCCCAGACUCCUGCGGGAGGCAGCAGUGGGGAAUAUUGCGCAAUGGGCGAAAGCCUGACGCAGCGACGCCGCGUGGGGGAUGACGGCCUUCGGGUUGUAAACCUCUUUUACCACCAACGCAGGCUCCGGGUUCUCUCGGGAGUUGACGGUAGGUGGGGAAGUAAGGACCGGCUAACUACGUGCCAGCAGCCGCGGUAAUUGACCGUAGGGUCCGAGCGUUGUCCGGAAUUAUUGGGCGUAAAGAGCUCGUAGGCGGCGUGGUCGCGUCUGCUGUGAAAGACGCGGGGCUUAACGUCCGGUUCGUGCAGUGGAUACGGGCAUGACUAGAGUGUAGGUAGGGGAGACUGGAAUUCCUGGUGUAGCGGUGAAAUGCGCAGAUAUCAGGAGGAACACCGGUGGCGAAGGCGGGUCUCUGGGCCUGUACCUGACGCUGAGGAGCGAAAGCAUGGGGAGCGAACAGGAUUAGAUACCCUGGUAGUCCCAUGCCGUAAACGUUGGGCGCUAGGUGUGGGGGACUUUCCACGGUUCUCCCGCUGCCGUAGCUAGACGCAAUUAAUAAGCGCCCGCGCGGGGGGGGGAGAUACGGGAUAA
RNAcentral lists this ribosomal RNA (694 nucleotides) under Actinomycetes bacterium. RNAcentral's name for it is "bacterial SSU rRNA". It matches the Rfam family "Bacterial small subunit ribosomal RNA", at positions 228 to 873 of the family's 1533-position model. The record is from RNAcentral. Lineage: Bacteria; Bacillati; Actinomycetota; Actinomycetes.